UGUGCAGGCCCCGCCCCUCACACCUGCGCAGGCCCCGCCCCCGGGGCCCCGCCUCCCCCCCGCCCCCCGCGCCCGUAAAUGCCGGCGGGUCCGCGCCCGCUCCGCUCUCUGCGGUGGGGGCUCGGCUCGGCUCGGCUCGGCUCGGCUCGGCUCGGCUCGGCUCGGCUCGGCGCGGCUCGGCUCGGCUCGGCUCGGCUCGGCUCGGCUCGGCUCGGCUCGGCGCGGCUCGGCUCGGCUCGGAGCGCUGCCGGAGAUCGGAGCGGGGCUGCUGCCGCCGCUGCGCGGAGCCCGAGGCGCUCAGAGCCAAGCAGUCAGUCCAACAUUCCUGUCUACUCUGGUGCCAGCCACUGUCUUGCGUUCCAACUCGCUCCUCAGAUGGAAAAAGGCAGGCAGGAAUGUCAGGAAGCAUAUUUAAUAGAGAAGGAAUCUUGAACUGCAUUCAAGCACUGCCCUACUCUUCCUCAGGAUUGGGACCAUAACUGCUGAAUGCUACUGGCAGUGAGGCUUCUUCCCAGCUGGGUGAUCCUGUGUCCCAGGCUCCGCAGUGUGGCUGGACACACAGGUAAGGCUAGGGCUCAAAAACUGUUGGCAGUGAGGUGGAAGUUUGUUUUGGUAAGCGGUGUCAUCUUGCCUGGAUGCUGGGGAGCAGGCUGGGGCAGAGCUGCAGGUCAGUGGAACCAGCCCUGCUCCAGCAGUGCUGUCACCAUGUCACUGCACUGGGGCAAGCACAAAUCUGUCACCUUUAAUCUGCCAGAAAACAGAUGCAACUCAGACAUUAUAGAUUAGGCAUGCAACAUGUCACAGGUAACAAAAUGGAUUAGAUAGCAGUGUAUAUUAAAUAAAUCUUUGUAAGUAAAAAAGGAAUCACAGAAACAAUUACUGAGGAACAUGUCUGCAGGCUCCGGUCUAGAGCUGGUGGGGUUUUACACAGCAGCAGCCCAAUUCACCAUAGAAGGACGUGUAGUGGGAAGGAGUAAAAUCCCAGUCACUUUAUGCUCAAACCAGGUCUGCCUUCCCGGUGGUACAGAAAGUGCCUUCAGAGUUGGUGCUGUUAGAAAUGAACAACCCCAGUGUUAAUUAGGUUCAUUAGUAAAUGCACACAAACAGGAGCCAGAGCAGAGCUGUGUUCCAGAGUGCCAGAUUUCAUUUGGAAUGCCUCCAUUGCAAAUAGGAAUGCAGAAACGAUGGAAAACAAAUCACUGUACAGAGAGAAUGACAGGGCUCAGCCUGUUCUCAAAGGCCAAAUGCCAGCCCAGAUGCUUUGUAGCACACGUACAGCUUGGCAGUAAGGAGGCAGUUUCAGAGAUCUAGAACAGAGACCUGGACAUGCUGUGUCAGGGCUCUGCUGUGCCUCGACACUCUUCUAGCACUUGUACAAAAAUGCAACAUCCAGCCCAUCCUUCUGGAUACAGAACAACAGUGAUGUGCUUAAUGAAGAGAGUUGCUUUUGAGAGACAGCCUGUGGAGAGAAGGCUGCCAACAGCUUUCUCCUACUCUCCUGGUUUAGGAACACAAGGCUCAA
Molecule: long non-coding RNA, 1522 nt
Organism: Passer domesticus (house sparrow)
Lineage: Eukaryota; Metazoa; Chordata; Aves; Passeriformes; Passeridae
Exons: 2
Source: RefSeq, a predicted model, not a curated record